RNAcentral lists this ribosomal RNA (496 nucleotides) under uncultured bacterium. RNAcentral describes it as "partial 16S ribosomal RNA". It matches the Rfam family "Bacterial small subunit ribosomal RNA", at positions 29 to 507 of the family's 1533-position model. The record is from RNAcentral.
AUGAACGCUGGCGGCGUGCCUAAUACCUGCAAGUCGAGCGAACAGACGAGGAGCUUGCUCCUCUGACGUUAGCGGCGGACGGGUGAGUAACACGUGGAUAACCUACCUAUAAGACUGGGAUAACUUCGGGAAACCGGAGCUAAUACCGGAUAAUAUAUUGCACCGCAUGGUUCAAUAGUGAAAGACGGUUUUGCUGUCACUUAUAGAUGGAUCCGCGCCGCAUUAGCUAGUUGGUAAGGUAACGGCUUACCAAGGCAACGAUGCGUAGCCGACCUGAGAGGGUGAUCGGCCACACUGGAACUGAGACACGGUCCAGACUCCUACGGGAGGCAGCAGUAGGGAAUCUUCCGCAAUGGGCGAAAGCCUGACGGAGCAACGCCGCGUGAGUGAUGAAGGUCUUCGGAUCGUAAAACUCUGUUAUUAGGGAAGAACAAAUGUGUAAGUAACUAUGCACGUCUUGACGGUACCUAAUCAGAAAGCCACGGCUAACUACGUG